CUUGAACUUUAUAAGAGGUCCAGCCUGCCCAGUGACUCUGUUCAACGGCCGCGGUAUCCUAACCGUGCGAAGGUAGCGUAAUCACUUGUUCUUUAAAUGUGGACUAGUAUGAAUGGCACUACGAGGGUUAUACUGUCUCCUUUUUCUAAUCAGUGAAACUAAUUUUCCCGUGAAGAAGCGGGAAUACAACUAUAAGACGAGAAGACCCUAUGGAGCUUUAAACAACCUAGCAAUUACUUCUAAAAUUAUAAAUUUCAGAAUACUCAUUCUUUAAGCAAUAUGUCUGCAAGUUUUUGGUUGGGGUGACCAUGGAGAAUAACACAACCUCCAUGUUGAAUGAAUUUUUAUUCUAAGCUAAGAAUUACUAAUUAAAGCAUCAACACACUGACAUUUAUUGACCCA
Molecule: ribosomal RNA, 402 nt
Filed under: Rhinella castaneotica (Para toad)
Lineage: Eukaryota; Metazoa; Chordata; Amphibia; Anura; Bufonidae
Description: partial 16S ribosomal RNA
Rfam family: Bacterial large subunit ribosomal RNA
Source: RNAcentral